GCAUGGGAAGGAUGAUCCGAAUGAAAUUAUGCACGAAGAUGAUGAUACUGAAGAUGAUAGUGAUGUUGCUGAACCUGUCGAACAUGAUGGUAUAGGAGAACUAUUGGAUGAUUUAUAUUAGGGUAUUUAUUCAAAUAUACGCAUGAGUAUUAGUGCAUUUAAAGGCAAUUCUGAUAAUGAACACAAUAUCUGGCUUGAGGUAGAAGGGA
Molecule: long non-coding RNA, 209 nt
Filed under: Elaeis guineensis (African oil palm)
Lineage: Eukaryota; Viridiplantae; Streptophyta; Magnoliopsida; Arecales; Arecaceae
Description: long non-coding RNA (EGUI_LNC060032)
Source: RNAcentral